UGGUCAAGUUAUUAAGGGUGCAGGGCGGAUGCCUUGGCACUAGGAGCCGAUGAAGGACGUGAUAAGCUGCGAUAAGCUUCGGGGAGUUGCACGUAAACUUUGAUCCGAAGAUUUCCGAAUGAGGAAACUCACUUAGAGUAAUGUCUAAGUAUCAUUAAGUGAAUACAUAGCUUAAUGAGGGGAACUCAGGGAACUGAAACAUCUAAGUACCUGAAGGAAGAGAAAGAAAUUCGAUUCCGUAAGUAGCGGCGAGCGAACGCGGAUUAGCCCAAACCAAUAAAGUUUUCUUUAUUGGGGUUGCGGACAUAUCAUAACGAAGAGGUAUCGUAAUUGAAGAGGUUUGGAAAGACCAACCACAGAAGGUAAUAGUCCUGUAUGUUAAACGAGAAGACUUUAGAUAUGAUCCAGAGUACCACGGGACACGUGAAACCCUGUGGGAAGCAGGAGGGACCACCCUCCAAGGCUAAAUACUACCUAGU
RNAcentral lists this ribosomal RNA (479 nucleotides) under Clostridioides difficile. RNAcentral describes it as "partial 23S ribosomal RNA". It matches the Rfam family "Bacterial large subunit ribosomal RNA", at positions 1 to 481 of the family's 2925-position model. The record is from RNAcentral. Lineage: Bacteria; Bacillati; Bacillota; Clostridia; Peptostreptococcales; Peptostreptococcaceae.